UACAGAGGUCUCAAGCGUUGUUCGGAUUCAUUGGGCGUAAAGGGUGCGUAGGUGGCGAUGUAAGUCGGGUGUGAAAUCUCCAAGCUUAACUUGGAAACUGCACUCGAUACUGCGUCGCUCGAGGACUGUAGAGGGCAUUGGAAUUCACGGUGUAGCAGUGAAAUGCGUAGAUAUCGUGAGGAAGACCAGUGGCGAAGGCGAAUGCCUGGGCAGUUCCUGACACUGAGGCACGAAAGCCAGGGGAGCAAACGGGAUUAGAUACCCCGGUAGUCCUGGCAGUAAACGGUGCACGUUUGGUAUGGGGGGGUCGACACCUUCCGUGCCGGAGCUAACGCGUUAAACGUGCCGCCUGAGGAGUACGGUCGCAAGAUUAAAACUCAAAGAAAUUGACGGGGACCCGCACAAGCGGUGGAGUAUGUGGCUUAAUUCGAUGCAACGCGAAGAACCUUACCUGGUCUUGACAUGCAUCUCUAAUCCGGUGAAAGCCGGUGAGUGUAGCAAUACACGAUUUGCACGGGUGCUGCAUGGCUGUCGUCAGCUCGUGUCGUGAGAUGUUGGGUUAAGUCCCGCAACGAGCGCAACCCCUGUGAACUGUUGCCAUGGAGGCGCGAGCCUCCGGCACUCUGUUCAGACUGCCCCGGAUAACGGGGAGGAAGGUGGGGACGACGUCAAGUCAGUAUGGCCCUUACGACCAGGGCUGCACACGUACUACAAUGCCCGAGACAGAAAGAUCCGAGACCGCGAGGUGGAGGAAAUCACUAAACUCGGGCCCAGUUCGGAUUGGAGGCUGCAACUCGCCUCCAUGAAGCCGGAAUCGCUAGUAAUGGCACAUCAGCUACGGUGCCGUGAAUACGUUCCCGGGUCU
This 865-nucleotide ribosomal RNA is filed under the name uncultured bacterium. RNAcentral describes it as "SSU rRNA". It matches the Rfam family "Bacterial small subunit ribosomal RNA", at positions 524 to 1381 of the family's 1533-position model. The record is from RNAcentral.